Long non-coding RNA from Oncorhynchus keta (chum salmon), 756 nucleotides. RefSeq lists it as uncharacterized. The record is from RefSeq and is a predicted model, not a curated record. The transcript has 4 exons. Lineage: Eukaryota; Metazoa; Chordata; Actinopteri; Salmoniformes; Salmonidae.
AGCACUUUCUAACAACUGCUGCUGUAAAAACAGGCUUUAUAAAAGAUGUUUGAUGGACUGACUUAACAAUAACAACAACAACGAGCGUUUUGGUAUGGUUAAGCACCCACUUUUACAAGUACUCACGGUUUAUUUCAAUACCUUAGAAAUGGCAGGAGGCACACAGGCUACGAGUUUCUGAAGCUGUGAAGCUAUAAUAAGCACCAGAGUUACAGAUACAUAUUCAUAUCAACAGGAGAGAAACAUAUGUACAAAUAUAAAUUAAAUUAAAACACUUCUCCACCUCCUAUGAUGCUCUUACUAUCAAUGACUGUGAUUGUAUUCAAUUGAAAUAUUCUUCGCCACAGGUAGGCAGGUAGACAGGUAGGCAGGUAGGCAGGUAGACAGGUAGGCAGGUAGACAGGUAGGCAGGUAGACAGGUAGGCAGGUAGACAGGUAGGCAGGUUGGCAGGUAGACAGGUAGGCAGGUAGACAGGUAGGCAGGUUGGCAGGUAGACAGGUAGGCAGGUAGGCAGGUAGGGAGGUAGGCAGGUAGGCAGGUAGGGAGGUAGGCAGGUAGGCAGGUAGGCAGGUAGAUAGGUAGGCAGGUAGACAGGUAGGCAGGUAGACAGGUAGGCAGGUAGGGAGGUAGGCAGGUAGGCAGGUAGACAGGUAGACAGGUAGGCAUGUAGACAGGUAGGCAGGUAGACAGGUAGGCAAGUAGACAGGUAGGCAGGUAGGGAGGUAGGGAGGUAGGCAGGUAGACAGGUAGGGAGG